AAGAGGGGAGACAGAAGCAGACUAUAAAUGGUGUGCUACAUGGUAUUUUCACAUUCAGCAUGUCAGCAGAAGAGCAGAAUACAUGGUAAAGCAUCUUGGUACACACACAACCAAUAUGUUUUAUCCUAAUGCAUACACAGGACAAACUCUGCUUUACCAAGGUUUAGAUACACUGGCUUUAUCACAUUUUAACCCAAUAUACCAGGCUAGGAACCCAGAUAUAUCUGCCACAUGCACAUCUGCUGUGAGACCAGUAGGAGUUGUCGCCAAGUUCAGGAUCUAUAAAAUGAGUAUCCAGGUUUCACUCAACACUGGAGCAGACCCAGGAUCAUACCUCCCGCUGGUCUGAUACAUGUUGGACUAAGACGUUUAAAGUGGCUUACCGACACAGUCCUCUUGUUUAUUUUCAGCCUGACACCGCAAGCAUGCAUCUGCGGAAAGAAGCGCUCCAUCAUCUGCAAACAAUGACCUCCCAAUAUCAGGUCUCACCUGGAAGAAUACAUUGUCAAUCAUAAUGGAGAACAAGAAAGGACUAAUGACACCUCCCUGGGGGGUACCAUUAUCUACCUCAUGGCUUUCUGACAUAGAGCUCCCCACCCUCACUUGUAUUGAUCGCCCAAAAAGAAAAUCCUUUAUCCAGUUAAAAACCAUUCCUCCAACCCCCAUGCUAUCCAGCUUGAUAAGUAGGCCUUCAUUCCACAUCAUAUUCUCUACAUUGAAUAAAAUGGCUACCACCACCUC
Molecule: long non-coding RNA, 741 nt
Organism: Salvelinus sp. IW2-2015
Lineage: Eukaryota; Metazoa; Chordata; Actinopteri; Salmoniformes; Salmonidae
Source: RefSeq, a predicted model, not a curated record